CUGGGACCUAAGGAAGUUGAAGAAGUUGGUGGCCUUGAAGAAUUGGAAAAACAAAUCAAUAGGAUAAUAAAAUAAAUAGUACAAAAGGCAGCUAAGGAGAUCAAUUUUGGAUUACUUGUUAAUGGAGAUUGUAGAGAAACAAUAGUGGUCAGUGAAAUAUAUUAUUAUUCCAUAUUACAAUUGAAAAUGGGGUUGUCAAUUUUUCACUUUAUGUGGGAACUAUACCAAAAGCCACGGCAAUCUGUGUGUCACUGAUUGCCAUUGUAUUUGAGCCCUGAAAUCAUUUACAUACGUCGUGUAAUACUGUUUUUCGUUUGAGUUCGUAAAUUUGUGUUAUUGUACGUAUCUCAUAUACUUGCUCUAAUGCUCAACUCA
RNAcentral lists this unclassified non-coding RNA (375 nucleotides) under Hevea brasiliensis (rubber tree). The record is from RNAcentral. Lineage: Eukaryota; Viridiplantae; Streptophyta; Magnoliopsida; Malpighiales; Euphorbiaceae.